Molecule: ribosomal RNA, 492 nt
Filed under: uncultured bacterium
Lineage: Bacteria
Description: partial 16S ribosomal RNA
Rfam family: Bacterial small subunit ribosomal RNA
Source: RNAcentral
AGUGAACGCUGGCGGUAGGCCUAACACAUGCAAGUCGAACGGCAGCACAGUAAGAGCUUGCUCUUACGGGUGGCGAGUGGCGGACGGGUGAGGAAUACAUCGGAAUCUACUUUUUCGUGGGGGAUAACGUAGGGAAACUUACGCUAAUACCGCAUACGACCUACGGGUGAAAGCAGGGGAUCUUCGCACCUUGCGCGAUUGAAUGAGCCGAUGUGGGAUUAGCUAGUUGGCGGGGUAAAGGCCCACCAAGGCGACGAUCCGUAGCUGGUCUGAGAGGAUGAUCAGCCGCACUGGAACUGGAACACGGUCCAGACUCCUACGGGAGGCAGCAGUGGGGAAUAUUGGACAAUGGGCGCAAGCCUGAUCCAGCCAUACCGCGUGGGUGAAAAAGGCCUUCGGGUUGUAAAGCCCUUUUGUUGGGAAAGAAAAGCAGCAGGUUAAUACCCCGCUGUUCUGACGGUACCCAAAGAAUAAGCACCGGCUAACUUCGUG